This is a long non-coding RNA of Cynocephalus volans (Philippine flying lemur), 599 nucleotides long. RefSeq lists it as uncharacterized. Lineage: Eukaryota; Metazoa; Chordata; Mammalia; Dermoptera; Cynocephalidae. The transcript is spliced from 3 exons. The record is from RefSeq and is a predicted model, not a curated record.
CGCUCCUUCCUUGUACCAGGCGUGGAGGAUCCCACAGUGUAAAAGCAAAGUAAAUACACUGCAACACGUGACAUGGCAAGACAUGGAACUGGAGAAGUCAGCGGAGGAAAGAUCAUGGAGUCACUGAAGAGUUUGAAGCUAUGGAGACAGAACAAUUCCACAUGAUAAGGCACACGGUGUGGUCACGAGAAGGAAUGGUGGUUACUGGAGCAGGCCGGUGCAGCGAUCGGAACCAUUGACCUUGCUGUUAUCAGCAUUGUGCUCUAACCAACUGAGCUAACUGGACAGCCCUCUUCUAUAUAUUAAGUGAGGUUCAUUUGGACUAUUUUUUGUCUUGUCAGAUUUCUACAUAAGGGUUGUACUUCCUUCAAUAAUUAACCAAGAAAUAUUUUCUUCUUUUAAUGCUCAGGAAACUGUCUGUUCCUUAAAGGUUGGAUAAAACUCACCUGUAAAAAACACCUUGUGAAGGGACAGUUCUUUGAUAACUUUUAAUUCCUUCCAUGGUAAUUGGUCUAUUCAGGCUUUCUUCUUCAGUCAAUUUUGAUAAUUUAUAUUUGCCUAUAAAAUGAUCCAUUCCAUCAAGAUGUUCAAUUUAUUAG